UUAGCAGAGAAGGAAAAGAAAAAGCCGGAAGAACAUUUUCUUCAACUUUUUUUUUUCCUCUCUUUCCCGUGAACCCAAUAGAAGACCCAUUCCUCCAUCUUUUAUUUUUCACACCAAAAUUGCUUCAAAAUUCCAUCUCCAAUCAAUUCUCCAUCUUCUCCCAACACCUUUCCAAAGAAGAAUUUGAAGAGAAGAAUGGAAAUCAAAGAGAAAUUUCAAGGGUGAGGGGGGAGUGAAUAGUAACCAAGGGUUUAAAAUUUAAAGAAGUGGAAAGGAAAAGUGGAAGUUCCAAAGGCAAAGAAAAGGAAGAGUAGAGGAGUAAAGCUUGUAGAAUAUUUUGGAAAUUCUAAGGCUGUAGAUUCAAGAAACAGUAGAGCAAGAUCUGCAUCAAUCUAGUCAGAGUUACAUCAUUAUUGAUCUUGG
Molecule: long non-coding RNA, 423 nt
Organism: Manihot esculenta (cassava)
Lineage: Eukaryota; Viridiplantae; Streptophyta; Magnoliopsida; Malpighiales; Euphorbiaceae
Exons: 3
Source: RefSeq, a predicted model, not a curated record